AGAGUUUGAUCAUGGCUCAGAUUGAACGCUGGCGGCAUGCCUUACACAUGCAAGUCGAACGGCAGCACGGGUACUUGUACCUGGUGGCGAGUGGCGAACGGGUGAGUAAUACAUCGGAACGUACCUUAUCGUGGGGGAUAACGCAGCGAAAGCUGUGCUAAUACCGCAUACGAUCUCAGGAUGAAAGCAGGGGACCGCAAGGCCUUGUGCUCCUGGAGCGGCCGAUAUCUGAUUAGCUAGUUGGUGGGGUAAAGGCCCACCAAGGCAACGAUCAGUAGCUGGUCUGAGAGGACGACCAGCCACACUGGAACUGAGACACGGUCCAGACUCCUACGGGAGGCAGCAGUGGGGAAUUUUGGACAAUGGGGGCAACCCUGAUCCAGCAAUGCCGCGUGAGUGAAGAAGGCCUUCGGGUUGUAAAGCUCUUUUGUCAGGGAAGAAACACCGGCUCUAACACAGUCCGGGAAUGACGGUACCUGAAGAAUAAGCACCGGCUAACUACGUGCCAGCAGCCGCGGUAAUACGUAGGGUGCAAGCGUUAAUCGGAAUUACUGGGCGUAAAGCGUGCGCAGGCGGUUAUACAAGACAGGCGUGAAAUCCCCGGGCUUAACCUGGGAAUGGCGCCUGUGACUGUAUAGCUAGAGUGUGUCAGAGGGGGGUAGAAUUCCACGUGUAGCAGUGAAAUGCGUAGAUAUGUGGAGGAAUACCAAUGGCGAAGGCAGCCCCCUGGGAUAACACUGACGCUCAUGCACGAAAGCGUGGGGAGCAAACAGGAUUAGAUACCCUGGUAGUCCACGCCCUAAACGAUGCUGACUAGUUGUUCGGGAUUUUCAUCCUGAGUAACGUAGCUAACGCGUGAAGUCAGCCGCCUGGGGAGUACGGUCGCAAGAUUAAAACUCAAGGAAUUGACGGGGACCCGCACAA
RNAcentral lists this ribosomal RNA (924 nucleotides) under uncultured bacterium. Its description in RNAcentral is "bacterial SSU rRNA". It matches the Rfam family "Bacterial small subunit ribosomal RNA", at positions 8 to 928 of the family's 1533-position model. The record is from RNAcentral.